GAUCUCAACUGGAAGGUAAAUCUAAACAGUGUUAUCAUUGAUAUCUAUAACCAAUUAAACUUUCAAUAUAUUACCAUUGCCAAAGCCACUAUUUAAUCAUUAUUUUAUUUAUUUAUUUAUUUUUAUUUAUUAUUGCUAUUUAUAAAGCGCACACAGAUUCCGCAGCGCUGUACAAUUAGUUGAGAAACGUACAAUAUACACAAACAAAUACAAGAGGUAAGAGAGCCCUGCCCGUAAGCUGAUAUCUAGCCAUUGGAGCUCUUUUAUACAAAGUGCUUAUCUAGAUGGCCCAUGAGCUUACAAUCUAAAGAAUACCAGGGGGAUUUGAGACAAGAGGUAGCAGGGGAAGUUUGGAGGUGAUGGCUGAAAGAGUUAACAGAGAAGCAGCUAUUGUUAAGAUGUUAAGGGAAUGAAGAGGUAAUUGGGUGAGAAUCUCAAACUGCUGGAGGAGCAUGCUAUAUAUUUAAGGGGAGCCUGGGUGGGUAGGAGGAGGGGAGGGUGGGUGGGAAGUGGGGAGAAACAAUGCAGUCUUCACUGAGUUGAUUGUGAAGUGUGGCCUGAGGAAUAGAGAUAGAACAGUCAGUGGCGUACAUACCAGGGUCUCAGGGGUCGCGGCUGCGACCGGGCCCGGCCCACCAGGGGGCCCGGCCGCCCCUGCGACCCGGUAUGUAGCCACAGGGCCAGCCUCUUCCCCUGGGGGGCCCAGGAGGCGGCCACCCCAGGGCCCCCCGAGGCUGGCCCUGCUG
Non-coding RNA from Pelobates cultripes (western spadefoot toad), 746 nucleotides. Lineage: Eukaryota; Metazoa; Chordata; Amphibia; Anura; Pelobatidae. The record is from the annotation of a GenBank genome assembly.